RNAcentral lists this ribosomal RNA (253 nucleotides) under uncultured bacterium. RNAcentral describes it as "partial 16S ribosomal RNA". It matches the Rfam family "Bacterial small subunit ribosomal RNA", at positions 524 to 776 of the family's 1533-position model. The record is from RNAcentral.
UACGUAGGGGGCAAGCGUUGUCCGGAAUCAUUGGGCGUAAAGAGCGUGUAGGCGGCCCGGUAAGUCCGCUGUGAAAGUCCAGGGCUCAACCCUGGGAUGCCGGUGGAUACUGUCGGGCUCGAGUCCGGAAGAGGAGUGUGGAAUUCCUGGUGUAGCGGUGAAAUGCGCAGAUAUCAGGAGGAACACCAAUGGCGAAGGCAGCACUCUGGGACGUGACUGACGCUGAGGCACGAAGGCCAGGGGAGCAAACGGG